Molecule: ribosomal RNA, 468 nt
Filed under: uncultured bacterium
Lineage: Bacteria
Description: partial 16S ribosomal RNA
Rfam family: Bacterial small subunit ribosomal RNA
Source: RNAcentral
GACGAACGCUGGCGGCGUGCUUAACACAUGCAAGUCGAACGGAAAGGCCCUGCUUUUGUGGGGUGCUCGAGUGGCGAACGGGUGAGUAACACGUGAGUAACCUGCCCUUGACUUUGGGAUAACUUCAGGAAACUGGGGCUAAUAUCGGAUAUGAGCUCCUGCUGCAUGUGGUUGGUUGGAAAGUUUCGGCGGUGGGGGAUGGACUCGCGGCUUAUCAGCUUGUUGGGGGGGUAGUGGCUUACCAAGGCUUUGACGGGUAGCCGGCCUGAGAGGGUGACCGGCCACCUUGGGCCUGCGAUACGCCCCAGACUCCUACGGGCCGCAGCAGUGGGGAAUAUUGCAGAAUGGGCGGACGCCUGAUACAGCAACGCCGCGUGCGGGAUGACGGCCUUCGGGUUGUAAACCGCUUUCGCCUGUGACGAAGCGUGAGUGACGGUAAUGGGUAAAGAAGCACCGGCUAACUACGUG